Non-coding RNA from Pelobates cultripes (western spadefoot toad), 72 nucleotides. Lineage: Eukaryota; Metazoa; Chordata; Amphibia; Anura; Pelobatidae. The record is from the annotation of a GenBank genome assembly.
CUGUAAGUACAGUGCCUGCGGACCGGGGAGGGAGAUCUCUGAUCUCCUCCCCGGUCCGCAGGCACAUUGCAG